AGAGUUUGAUCCUGGCUCAGAUUGAACGCUGGCGGCGUGCCUAACACAUGCAAGUCGAGCGGUAACAGGUGUAGCAAUACAUGCUGACGAGCGGCGAACGGGUGAGUAAUGCUUUGGAAUCUUCCCAGUAGUGGGGAACAACCAGUCGAAAGAUUGGCUAAUACCGCAUACGUCUGUGAAGAGAAAGCGGGGGAUCGUAAGACCUCGCGCUAUUGGAUGAGCCAAAGUCGGAUUAGCUAGUUGGUGAGGUAAUGGCUCACCAAGGCGACGAUCGGUAGCUGGUCUGAGAGGAUGAUCAGCCUCACUGGGACUGAGACACGGCCCAGACUCCUACGGGAGGCAGCAGUGGGGAAUAUUGGACAAUGGGCGCAAGCCUGAUCCAGCCAUGCCGCGUGGGUGAUGAAGGCCUUAGGGUUGUAAAGCCCUUUCGGCGGGGAAGAUAAUGACGGUACCCGCAGAAGAAGCCCCGGCUAACUUCGUGCCAGCAGCCGCGGUAAUACGAAGGGGGCUAGCGUUGCUCGGAAUUACUGGGUGUAAAGGGUUCGUAGGCGGUGUGGCAAGUCGGGAGUGAAAUCUAUGGGCUUAACUCAUAGGCUGCUUCCGAAACUGCUGUGCUUGAGUGUGGGAGAGGCGCGUGGAAUUGCAGGUGUAGCGGUGAAAUGCGUAGAUAUCUGCAGGAACACCCGUGGCGAAAGCGGCGCGCUGGACCACAACUGACGCUGAGGAACGAAAGCUAGGGGAGCAAACAGGAUUAGAUACCCUGGUAGUCCUAGCCCUAAACGAUCAGGACUUGGGGUGCCACCCGUUCGGGUGUCGUCCCGGAGCUAACGCGUUAAGUCCUGCACCUGGGGAGUACGGUCGCAAGACUGAAACUCAAAGGAAUUGACGG
This 889-nucleotide ribosomal RNA is filed under the name uncultured bacterium. RNAcentral describes it as "bacterial SSU rRNA". It matches the Rfam family "Bacterial small subunit ribosomal RNA", at positions 8 to 916 of the family's 1533-position model. The record is from RNAcentral.